Molecule: long non-coding RNA, 818 nt
Filed under: Chrysemys picta bellii (western painted turtle)
Lineage: Eukaryota; Metazoa; Chordata; Testudines; Emydidae
Description: lncRNA (ENSCPBG00000011412.1)
Source: RNAcentral
AUGGUUAAAGUUAAUUUAUUUCCCCCCAUUCACGUUGUUUGUUCACUCUUGGCGUUGCCUAGCCGCACACCACAACUGAACUGCCCUCUCUCCGCUUUGGCCCUAAGCACUUUCAAACCCAACACGUCGGCUCCAGCGCGCAUUGGCCCGAACGGGCACAGCACCAGACGGGACAUUUUCAGUGCCAAAGCCGGCCCAGUCCCACCCACUCCUGACGGCCGCGGAAGUUUAGGCAGAACUUCAUGCCUGUCGGAUCGGCUACUCCCGGGACAGAGGCUCUCCCGAUCCCCUCACUGGCUUACACCUGAUGUGCUGGGACACUCAUUGCCGCCGAACUUCCCCGCCAGUGGCUCGGUUACAGCCGAACACGGCGUGGGCAGGCUUCGCACGCCCCGUUCUUGUGCUACAGGUAACCCACCAGCAGCAAAUGAAUCCCACCAGCCACGACAGAGUACGCUUACAGAGUUUCAGGGUCGCUUCAAGCCAAUGGAUCAAACAAAGUACAACAGGUUAACCAAUGCUAUUGCAAAGUGGAUAGCUAUCACUGCAGACCACUCAACAUUGUAAAUGACAGAGUGCUAAGAGAUGUUAUUCAAAUUGCAUCUUCCAAUCAGUCAUAUACUUUGCUCUCUGGAGGAGCAUUGCAUCAGGACCUGUAUCACAACGAGAAAACUACGAAGUUGGAGCUUCUGAAAAAUGCACUAGCUGUUGCUUUGACUGGUGAUCACUGGACAUCCAUGAGCCAUCACAGCUAUCCUGGAGUCACAGCACACCUGAUCGCUGCUGCACGGACAUUGCAGUUGUUUGCUUUCACAGUA